AAAAAAGGCAAGGCGAGGAGGGAAUUAUCGGGGCAGUAACUGUGUAAAACCGUCGAAAAGGCAUGUCAGUAGCUCAGGAUACUUCAUGGCAUAAACUGGGUUUCGGCAGUCUAAAAUCACACACAUUCUUGAUGUCCAAGCAAAAGUAUGGAGGGCAGAUAGUGAAGUAGGUCAUGUCUCAUCGUAUCUGUGAAACAUAUCUGUGAAACGUGCCAGUGGCGGCAAAGAAACCAGACCGGCCAGUUUACUGGAGUGUCAGUGGUGAGAAGGGACUCAAGGAGCUUAUUGAAGAGGGCAAGCCUGUUGAGAUUUUAGAGGGUGAUGGAUAUAAUAAUAUAGAAAUUCCCGUGAAAAGGAACAUAAACCUUACUCUACAGAAACGUUUUGAUAAAAAUCAUGUCAAGAACAUGUUCAUAAUGAAGAACUCAGACUGUCAGCCCAGGCGGAGUUCUGCAAAAAUCGACCAUGAAAAUCAUGUUUAUAUUGUGUAUAUAAUAAUAAGUUUUAUGUUAUUAAUCACUAUUCAUUAAUGAAGCUAUUUUCCUUUUAACUGGUAUGAUUGAAUGAUUAAAUAUGAUAUAUGUCUUAAUUUUGAAUUGCUUUAUUUCCCCUGUUACAUGUUAAAGUCAUACUCAUUUUUAUCUAUUUUUGAACAUUUGAACUCCUCAAUAUGUUCACAUGUAAAAAGUCGCAAAUUUAGUAUGGUGUUUCUGGCAAAUGUGGGUACCUUUGAUUGUGAGGCAGGAACUUUUCAUUUUUACUGGUGACCCUUUUUAGUAGUUCAGGCUAAUGUAUAGUUUUAAUUAUUUUUUCAGAAUUUUUCGAUAAACCAAGUCAAGAAUAUUUCAUGAACCCUUUUUGAAUUCUUAGGAUUCAUGAAAAGUUCUUCAUUAGUUCUUAAAAAAGGCAAAAAUAUUUCAAUUAAAUUAAUUAAGAACUGAUACGUUUUGUAUUGUGUUGGUUGAUUAACUAAAAUAGAUAAUUUUUAGCAAGAAU
This is a long non-coding RNA of Dreissena polymorpha, 996 nucleotides long. RefSeq lists it as uncharacterized. Lineage: Eukaryota; Metazoa; Mollusca; Bivalvia; Myida; Dreissenidae. The transcript has 3 exons. The record is from RefSeq and is a predicted model, not a curated record.